GACGAACGCUGGCGGCGUGCUUAACACAUGCAAGUCGAACGGAAAGGCCCUGCUUUUGUGUGGUGCUCGAGUGGCGAACGGGUGAGUAACACGUGAGUAACCUGCCCUUGACUUUGGGAUAACGUCAGGAAACUGGGGCUAAUACCGGAUAGGAGCUCCUGCUGCAUGGUGGGGGUUGGAAAGUUUCGGCGGUUGGGGAUGGACUCGCGGCUUAUCAGCUUGUUGGUGGGGUAGUGGCUUACCAAGGCUUUGACGGGUAGCCGGCCUGAGAGGGUGACCGGCCACAUUGGGACUGAGAUACGGCGCAGACUCCUACGGGAGGCAGCAGUGGGGAAUAUUGCACAAUGGGCGGAAGCGUGAUGCAGCAACGCCGCGUGCGGGAUGACGGCCUUCGGGUUGUAAACCGCUUUCGCCUGUGACGAAGCGUGAGUGACGGUAAUGGGUAAAGAAGCACCGGCUAACUACGUG
RNAcentral lists this ribosomal RNA (468 nucleotides) under uncultured bacterium. RNAcentral describes it as "partial 16S ribosomal RNA". It matches the Rfam family "Bacterial small subunit ribosomal RNA", at positions 28 to 507 of the family's 1533-position model. The record is from RNAcentral.